GAUGAAGAACGUAGUGAAAUGCGAUAAGUAAUGUGAAUUGCAGAAUUCAGUGAAUCAUCGAAUCUUUGAACGCACAUUGCGCCCCCUGGUAUUCCGGGGGGCAUGCCUGUUCGAGCGUCAUUUCACCACUCAAGCCUCGCUUGGUAUUGGGCAACGCGGUCCGCCGCGUGCCUCAAAUCGACCGGCUGGGUCUUCUGUCCCCUAAGCGUUGUGGAAACUAUUCGCUAAAGGGUGCUCGGGAGGCUACGCCGUAAAACAAACCCAUUUCUAAGGUUGACCUAGGAUCAGGUAGGGAUACCCGCUGAACUUAAGCAUAUCAAUAAGCGGAGGA
RNAcentral lists this unclassified non-coding RNA (331 nucleotides) under soil metagenome. Its description in RNAcentral is "partial contains 5.8S ribosomal RNA, internal transcribed spacer 2, and large subunit ribosomal RNA". The stretch from base 1 to 120 matches the Rfam family "5.8S ribosomal RNA", at positions 35 to 154 of the family's 154-position model. The record is from RNAcentral.